ACGUCCCCCAAGACCCUAUAAAAGGGGUCCUUGGGGGACCUCUACCCUCAACUCAUCUUCUUGACUCACACUCCAACCAGAGCAAUCCAAGGAGCCCGAAUCGCCUACUCCCAAGGGAGUCGCCGAUUCCCCUCCUCUUCUGCAGGUAUAUUGACGUAGAGCGCGCGUCGUGGACUCCAAAGCCUCCGGCCCUCCUCGCAACCCCGCGAGCCUACUGGUAGCAGAUUCCGUGCUUCAUCAAG
This 242-nucleotide long non-coding RNA is filed under the name Zostera marina. RNAcentral describes it as "long non-coding RNA (ZMAR_LNC002859)". The record is from RNAcentral. Lineage: Eukaryota; Viridiplantae; Streptophyta; Magnoliopsida; Alismatales; Zosteraceae.